AAACACUUAUCCAUUGCGCUAUUACAGC
This 28-nucleotide small RNA is filed under the name Bombyx mori (domestic silkworm). Its description in RNAcentral is "ovarian small RNA-9914". The record is from RNAcentral. Lineage: Eukaryota; Metazoa; Arthropoda; Insecta; Lepidoptera; Bombycidae.